Long non-coding RNA from Stegodyphus dumicola, 425 nucleotides. NCBI's taxonomy places the organism in Eukaryota, Metazoa, Arthropoda, Arachnida, Araneae, Eresidae. The record is from RefSeq and is a predicted model, not a curated record.
UUUUCUGACGAGGAGUUGCUUUAACAUAAGUGAAUGUUGAUCCAGAAACUUAUAACUUAUUCUGGUACUAUUCGUUAUACAUCUGAGAGUUAUUUUUGUGAAAUCUCCCUUGGGCAUUAACUGGAUAUUUUGCAAGAAUUUUAGAGGUAUUUGUACUCGAAUGAAGAAAGUGGCUCCGCCCCCUCCUCCCCCCGUGGUGCCUAAGCCGGCUUCCCUGUCUAAUGGUAGCGUGCACCGGAAGAACAGCGGCAAUGGAGAGACGCCCCGGCCGCCCCCCUCAACCACCCCAGGAGAGGAUUGCGCCAUCGACGAACUGUUGGAGGGGCGCAUGGAACUGGAAGUCGUGCUGCCGGACCUCAAAGUAGUUAGGAUGACAGUAGAUCGGAGGUUAGGAUAAUUCCCACGUUAUUUCAAAAAAUUUUCUA